This 72-nucleotide transfer RNA is filed under the name Phacotus lenticularis. Its description in RNAcentral is "tRNA-Gln". It matches the Rfam family "tRNA". Rfam says of the family: Transfer RNA (tRNA) molecules are approximately 80 nucleotides in length. Their secondary structure includes four short double-helical elements and three loops (D, anti-codon, and T loops). Further hydrogen bonds mediate the characteristic L-shaped molecular structure. tRNAs have two regions of fundamental functional importance: the anti-codon, which is responsible for specific mRNA codon recognition, and the 3' end, to which the tRNAs corresponding amino acid is attached (by aminoacyl-tRNA synthetases). tRNAs cope with the degeneracy of the genetic code in two manners: having more than one tRNA (with a specific anti-codon) for a particular amino acid; and 'wobble' base-pairing, i.e. permitting non-standard base-pairing at the 3rd anti-codon position. The record is from RNAcentral. Lineage: Eukaryota; Viridiplantae; Chlorophyta; Chlorophyceae; Chlamydomonadales; Phacotaceae.
UGGGGCGUCGCCAAGUGGUAAGGCAGCGGUUUUUGGUACCGACAUUCGUAGGUUCGAGUCCUUCCGCCCCAG